RNAcentral lists this ribosomal RNA (492 nucleotides) under uncultured bacterium. Its description in RNAcentral is "partial 16S ribosomal RNA". It matches the Rfam family "Bacterial small subunit ribosomal RNA", at positions 29 to 507 of the family's 1533-position model. The record is from RNAcentral.
AGUGAACGCUGGCGGUAGGCCUAACACAUGCAAGUCGAACGGCAGCACAGUAAGAGCUUGCUCUUACGGGUGGCGAGUGGCGGACGGGUGAGGAAUACAUCGGAAUCUACUUUUUCGUGGGGGUUAACGUAGGGAAACUUACGCUAAUACCGCAUCCGCCCUACGGGUGAAAGCAUGGGAUCUUCGGACCUUGCGCGAUUGAAUGAGCCGAUGUCGGAUUAGCUAGUUGGCGGGGUAAAGGCCCACCAAGGCGAGGAUCCGUAGCUGGUCUGAGAGGAUGAUCAGCCACACUGGAACUGAGACACGGUCCAGACUCCUACGGGAGGCAGCAGUGGGGAAUAUUGGACAAUGGGCGCAAGCCUGAUCCAGCCAUACCGCGUGGGUGAAGAAGGCCUUCGGGUUGUAAAGCCCUUUUGUUGGGAAAGAAAAGCAGCAGGUUAAUACCCCGCUGUUCUGACGGUACCCAAAGAAUAAGCACCGGCUAACUUCGUG